This 496-nucleotide ribosomal RNA is filed under the name uncultured bacterium. RNAcentral's name for it is "partial 16S ribosomal RNA". It matches the Rfam family "Bacterial small subunit ribosomal RNA", at positions 30 to 523 of the family's 1533-position model. The record is from RNAcentral.
AUUGAACGCUGGCGGAAUGCUUUACACAUGCAAGUCGAACGGUAGAGGGGGCAACCCCUCGAGAGUGGCGAACGGGUGAGUAAUAUAUCGGAACGUGCCCAGUCGUGGGGGAUAACGUAGCGAAAGUUACGCUAAUACCGCAUACGAUCUACGGAUGAAAGCGGGGGACCGUAAGGCCUCGCGCGAUUGGAGCGGCCGAUAUCAGAUUAGGUGGUUGGUGGGGAAAAGGCUCACCAAGCCAACGAUCUGUAGCUGGUCUGAGAGGACGACACGCCACACUAGAACUGAGACACGGUCCAGACUCCUACGGGCGGCAGCAGUGGGGAAUUUUGGACAAUGGACGCAAGUCUGAUCCAGCCAUUCCGCGUGCAGGAUGAAGGCCCUCGGGUUGUAAACUGCUUUUGUACGGAACGAAAAGGUUUCCAUUAAUACUGGGAGCUCAUGACGGUACCGUAAGAAUAAGCACCGGCUAACUACGUGCCAGCCGCCGCGGUAA